This 271-nucleotide long non-coding RNA is filed under the name Drosophila guanche. Lineage: Eukaryota; Metazoa; Arthropoda; Insecta; Diptera; Drosophilidae. The record is from RNAcentral.
GUUAUAUAAUUGUAUACCCGAGCCCGAUUGGAUGAGCAUCUCUGUUUUAUCCCUCUCCCUCUGUAUCCAUGGAAAUUCCUUGGAUCCUUGGAUCCUACCGUAAUUGCAGCACUUAAUGAUUGAAUAAUGGAAGAAGAGAGUGAGCUAAGCGCUUGCCUCAGCCACGAGAUACGUAGAUACAAGAUAGAAAUUGUUGUUUAAUUUGCGGAAAUUGUUUGCCAAAGUGGCUAAAAAAAGUGAAGGUAGAGUACGAGGAGUUGCCUCUUCCUUG